UACAGAGGUGGCAAGCGGUGUUCGGAAUUACUGGGCGUAAAGGGCGCGUAGGUGGCCUUCUUAGUCAGACGUGAAAUCCCCGGGCUUAACUCGGGAACUGCGUCUGAUACUGGAUGGCUUGAAUUCGGGAGAGGGAUGCAGAAUUCCAGGUGUAGCGGUGAAAUGCGUAGAUAUCUGGAGGAAUACCGGUGGCGAAGGCGGCAUCCUGGACCGACAUUGACGCUGAGGAGCGAAAGCUAGGGGAGCAAACGGG
This 253-nucleotide ribosomal RNA is filed under the name uncultured bacterium. Its description in RNAcentral is "partial 16S ribosomal RNA". It matches the Rfam family "Bacterial small subunit ribosomal RNA", at positions 524 to 776 of the family's 1533-position model. The record is from RNAcentral.